RNAcentral lists this long non-coding RNA (6742 nucleotides) under Daucus carota (carrot). RNAcentral's name for it is "long non-coding RNA (DCAR_LNC007630)". Lineage: Eukaryota; Viridiplantae; Streptophyta; Magnoliopsida; Apiales; Apiaceae. The record is from RNAcentral.
UAGUCUUAUACAUAGACGAGACGAUGUCGGAUUUUCGAUAAGGAUUUAUAUGAUAAUUGAUUGGUGAUAUGUUAUGUGGAAUAUGAUUGACUAUAUGUUAGAGUCAAAGCAUGCUUAUGUGUUACGUGGUAUCUGAUAAGUUUAAAGGGGUAUAUAAGUGGGUAUCGGUAUACGUGAUAUGUAUAUGCGAUAUAUUGUUUAGUGACUAUAGUAUUAUCUUAUUCUCGUAAAGGAUUUGGACGAGACGUGUACGCUCGAAGACGUCAGGAAGUCGAAAUGGUAUUGCAAAGCGAAUAAGGGAUGAAUCGAGUAAGCGAAGCGAAGAUGUACGGUAGAUAGAGUAUAGCCAGAGAUGGUCUAGAGACUAUGAGAUGCAUAGAUUGUGAAAGUGGAAAGAUGAGAUUGAGAUGUGAGACUGGAGUCAGAUUUAAGGCAAGUAUCCUAAACCUUUCUCUUGGAUAUAUUGCAAAUAUUCUGAUCCAUUCCUUUGGUAUAUGUUUCAAGUAUUCAUACCUUUCUUUUCAAUGUUCGAAAGUGCGAGUAUUCUGACCCAUUCUUUCUAAUCUUCAAGUUUCUAAAGAAUUUCCGUUUUACAAAUUAAUUCGAAGUUCAGAUUGUCAUUGAAGCAUGUGUUGCUCAGUGAUAGUUAGAGCUUUGAAUGAAUUGGGAUCUUCUUGAUUAUUCAACCCGCCAUUGUCAUGCUGGUUUAGCAGGCUAAAUUCAGUUGCUUAGCCGAUAAUGGAGGAUACUGAAUAGUUGAGGAUUUCCUGAACUGUGAUUUAUGAAAUGAUGGAUCAUGAUUUAUGAAUAGAUUAUUAUCAAAGUUUGAAUUGGAAUUAUUCUGUUGUUGAUGAUAUUUAUGAUGAUGUUCUGUUAAUUUACAUUGGCUUCUUGAAUUGAAUUAGAGAAUUGGAUUAUUGUUUUUAUAUAAACCUGUGGACCAGAUUCGUGGUCAUGUUAGGCCAAUGAGUGCCUUGGAUCCAGUGAUAGAGCAUGGCGGGGCCUGCUCGGGGUUAGUGCGGAACUGAUCAGCUGCCUAACCUUGGUUUUAAUUAAAAUGUGAUAGUCCAAUUCAAUAAUUCUUUGGAAAGAUUGAAUUUCUCAGUUUAAAUGCUGCAAGGUAUUGUAAAUCAUUCUAUACAAUACCAUGAACUCAUGAACUCAUGUUGAAUCCUUUUAUAUCUUGAACUCGUGAACUUCUAUUAUAUCAUUUCAGAACUAUCAUUGUUUAUUAUUACUUGCUGAGCAUUGUUGCUCACCCUUGCUAUUCCUUUCUAACCAUUUCAGAAAGGCUUAAAGAUGAGAUGAUUGAUUGAGAUUGUGAGUAAGGCUAAUGCUAGGCGAGGAGACAGAGUUGAGGAUCCAGUGGUCGAGGAGUGUUCAGGAAAGUUGAUGAGGUUGGUGCAAGCUGGAAUAGUUGACAGUGAUUCUUCUUAUCGAAGAUGAUCUGAUUUGGUAAGAGAUGUUGUGUAAUAAUAGUGGUAGAUUCUAAUUUCAAUACUGUAACCUGGAUGCGAUCCUGUUGCUUUUAGGGGGUUUAAAUGUUCUCUUUCGAAUCAUUUAUUAAAGUUUAAAUGUUCUCUUGAAAUUCUCCUAUUAUGGCUUUCAAGUUUGAAAUUCAGGUUUUGAAAUCAUUCGAUUUAUGUUCUCAUUCAAAUCUUUUAUUAAAUGUUUUCAGGUUUUAAAUUCUUUGAUUUCAUUAUAAAAAAAAAAAAAAAUUUAGGUUUUCGAAAGUGUUUUAAAAAGGUUUUUAUGUGGUGACGUCAGAAUCCAGGCCCCCGGAUUCCUGGACCGUCACAGUUGGUAUCAGAGCCACAGGUUAUAAGUAUUUGAAAUUAGAAUAUAGAUCAUAGUUAUAGGUUUUCUAGAGAAGAAUAUUGUGUGACCUCGUACAGAGGUAUUAUUAGACUAUUUAGAAAUAGUCUAGAGAUGUGAUAGAGGUAUAGAAUCUAGUUAGACGAUCAAGUUGAGUGUAUAAGGUUAGAGAGAUUUUGAUUCCUAAGUUAGACAUAUGAUUUCUAGUAUGUUGACUCAUUGAGAUGUUGAAUUGUGAGGAAGGUCAAGAUUAGACCUAGAUAGAAGAGUUUGAUAGUGAAUGAUUGAGUUAAGAAUGGUGAAGAUGCAGAGUUCAGAGUAUUCUGACUAUACUGCAUAGUUGAGAAUGGUCUAUGGUAUUGAUUUGAGAAUGAUAAAGAUGCAUGGUUCAUAGUAUGUUGACCAUGUCAGAUGUUUGGAAGAAGUAUAUUGUUUUUGUGAGAUAUUGAAGAAGGAGUGUAAGAUAUGAGUUAUGUUGGAUUAGAAGGGGGAUUUGUAGAUAGAGGUUGAUAGAUGAGAAGUGAAUGAUAAAAAGUAUGUGGAAUUGAGUGUAGUUAUUAGGGGAGAUGUCGGUGAGUAAUUUAGAACGUUAAUCCUCGACGACAACGCUUUAAGCUAAUCGGGACUUCAAACGACAUCAAGGUGGGCCCAUAACCCACAAGUUGAUGAUCCAGACAAUCGAAGAUACGCUACGUGUUGUGCUAUGGAAUUCAAAGGCAACUGGAUGAAACAUGAGAACGUGAACUAUUUGGGCCAGACUUAUUACGAACUAUAACGUCUACGAUGACAUCUUACGAGGCUAUUACGAGUCAACAUCGAUUGAUUAUCAAGAACGUUGAAAAGAAGACAUACGACGGACAAUGAUUUAUUGAAGCAGAGCGAAAAUCUGAGAAGACCUGGGCAAUACCUCUCUUCAACUAAAAGUUCUUUUGAUUCUUUUCUCAUUAGUGAGAUAUUAUCAUGAUAUCCUUUCGACCAAAGUUUCGAUAAAGGAGAUUUUCAAUUUCUCAAAUUCUAAGAUGAUAAUGAUAUUGAUUAUUGGUGUGAGUUAGUAUUGAAUCGGUGUAUGAUAAAGACGUGUUUAUGAAGAGACAGUGGAAUUCCUUGAUAUUAUUUGAUAUUCUUUGAUAUCCUUUGAUAUUCAUCCAUAUUCUUUGAUGUCCCUUAAUAUUCGUCGAUAUUCUUUGACACUCCUUGAUAUUCCUUGAUAUCUUUUUGAUAUUCCUUAAUAUAUUCCUCGAUAAUCCUUAACAUUCCUUGAUGCUCCUUGAGAUUUCUUGGAUUCUUUCCAUCUGAUUGGGAUGAACAACCCUAUGAAUAGGGGACACAAGGUAUACCUGUCUGUGUGAUAGGAGUUGGAUGGGACGCCAUCACUUGUGUGUGUUGUGAUUACAAGAAGGUUAACAACCUUUAGUAGUGUCUAAUAUGGACACGCAACAUUAAGUUCAUUUGAUCGUAUUGAUCUCCCAGUCACUCUUGUAUUCCAAUGUGACCUAUUUUGAAAAUAUCUUGUUCCUCCGAAAUUCCCAAAGAUUGAUUCUUGGGAAAUGAAGUUUGCAAUUGUGAAGGUGUUGAUUUUCCUAUUUCUUUAACUUUGAAGGUAUGCCAAAGUUGAUCAAAGGCGGAUGAGCAUGUGAUAUUAUGAAGCGUGUACCACGAUCUUAUAAAUGAUACGUUUUAGUUUCUUCGGAGGAUUCCGAGGACGGAAUCCUUAUAAGGGGGGUAGAAUGUAAUAUCCCAUAUUUUUAAAUUUAGAUUUGAUUGUUAUAAAUCUAUCUGUCUAAAUAUUAUUGUUGGCUUUAGUUGAAAAGUGAAUUGAUUAUGUGAAUAGUUUUAUAUGAUUAUACUUGUUUUGUGGAUUAAUAUGGAUUUUACAAAUAUUGCGUCCUCCUUCUUUCUCUGAUUCCGAGGACGGAAUCCCUAUAAGGAGGGUAGAUUGUAAUAACCCGGAUUUUAAAAAUAUCUUUAUUAAUAUUAUAAAUGAUUUUCUUAAAAAGUAAGGAAUAAGAUUUAAUAUUUUAUUCCAGUUUAAGGAGUUUUCAAGGUUUUAUAUUUAAACCCCGGGUUAUUGUGUUAUUGAUAAAUAAUUGUAUUUUCAAAAGUGAUUUUCAUAUAUUGUUUCGAAAAUUCUGUAUGAAUAUUAUGUGAAUAUAUGUGUGAUGUGAGUAAGUGGUAUUGGUGGAUUUGUUGGUUAAUUAAUUAUGGUUAAUUAUGAGUAUUAUAUGAUUAAUAUAUGAAUUUUUGUGAAUUUUAUAUUAUCUGGUUUAUUGCGUUAACUGCUCAUAUGUGUUCGUAUUUGAGAGAUUUCAAUUUCUAUAUGCUCAGGAGAAAAUAUAGUUUAUUUGGAUAUUUUCAUAUCGAUUUAUGGAAUGUUAGAUGAUUUUAUAAUCGAUUUACGGAUUUAAUUGCGUAUAUUUAUAUUUAUUUAUUAAUUAUUUGACUUCCGUAAAACCGUCCACUCGUAACGAGGUAGCAAAUUUUCUUCCCGGAAGUUUCAACAAAACUGACCUUUAGCCUAAUUUGAAUAUUCCGGACACUUUUCGUGUUUUGACUUUUUCGAUCCGGAGUACGGUUUUCCCCGGAGUCGGUCCGGCGGAGUUUUUCGGGUAUUUUAAUUGUUGAUAAUUAUCCAGUUUGUCUCGAUAAGCGUGAAACGAGAUAUUUUGAUUAUUAUAUUCAUCCUUAUCUUGUAAUAAUUGCAAUGGGACCCGCAGACCAAUAAUUGAGUUAAAAAGCCCCGUUUUGAUGAUUAUCUCGAAAACCAGUACCGAUUGGACCCCGCUUUAUUAAUAUAAAGCUAUUAAAUACGUAUUUUCAUGUCAUAAACGAUCCAAAGGGGUACCAAUUAUUUGUAAAUAUAAAUAGACCUUUCUAGAGCUUAUUUUCACCCGUAAAAUCAUUUCACCAGUUUCUCUGCACGAAUACCGAGAGAAACCGAGCGGUGUUCUUCGUGUUCUUCAUAAUCAAACGAAGAUUUGAAGGUGUUAUUGGAGUCAGAAUCAAGCGUGCGAAUAGUCAAAUCGAAGAUAUCGAAGAGUAGAACCCAAAUCAAUCAUCAAAAACAACAUGAGAUUCACAGGUAGGGAGUAAUUGAAGUUUUAAAAUUCGAAUUAUUAUGAUUUAAAUAGUGAAUUUUUGCAAACGUGUUUGUUUGAUUGUUUGGAUGAUUCCAUGUUGUAGAACGUGUUUUUCUCGUCGUUUUGGUAUAUUAUAUGUUGAAUUUUGAGUUCGGAAACAUAUAGAAAAGUCCGUUUGAUUAUGUGGUUGUGUUCUUGAGUGUUCUUGAACUUUCGCCGGAAAGUUAUGAUUUUUGGUCGGAAAAUCGUUCUGUAGAGUAUGAAUUGUUUCUAAAGUCAUGUAUAAGAUCCUGGUGAUGUGUAGAGUCGAUUUAUAGGUUUGAUUUCAGUGUGGGAUAAGGAUUUGGGGCUCGCCGGAUAGUGGUGGCGGCGGUUUUUGACGGAUUUUUCCGGCCAGUUGGCUGCGUUUUUGGUGAAAACAAGGUGCUACAAUGAUUCCUGGUAUAAUAUACUCGUGAUCUGGAGAGUUUUGAAUGUUUCUGGGCUUGGGAAAGGUGGUGCCGGCAUCGUUCCGGCGGAUCUGGGGCCGGCAGUGGCAAAUUGCCAUUUGACCCCCAGAGUUUGGAAGAUGAUGAAGAGGUGACACUGUAGUUUCUGUUUUGACGGUUCAGCCCCUGUAACUUUUGAAAGUUACACUUUAAACCCUGUCAGAAAACUUUCAAAACUAUACACUUUAAACCUUUUGAUUUUAAUUUUCAAAAAUUGUUUUAUUUAAUUAUUUUAAAUUCCAAAAAUAGUUUUUAAUUAUUUCUUUAUUCAAAAAUAAAUCUAAAUUAGUUUGUUAAUUAAUUUUAAUUAGUAAUUAAUUAUUUUAAUUAGUCAAUUAAUUUAAAUAUUAAUUGAUUAAUUAUUUUAAUUAAUUAUUAAUUGAUUUUAAUUGAUUAAUUAAUUGGAUUUAAUUAAUCCUUUUUGAUUUAAAAAUUCCGAAAAAUAGUUUCGAGCUUUAAAAUAUUUUUCCAAAUUAUUUUCAAGGCUCGAUAAUUGUUUAUGAAUGAUUUCAAGUCCAAUUUCAAGUAUUUGGGACUUGAUUAUUUAUCCGAAAAGUGAUUCUUUUAUCGAUUUUAAUUCCGAAAAAUGUUUAAAAAUUCCAGAAAAUUCCCGAAAAAUCAUUUUUAACCCAAGACUUGAUUUAAUAUCAAUUGGGAUGGGAAACCUUAUGUGUUGUGUGUUGUCUGCUAUUGGUUGGAUGUGUUAUGUGCCGAUAGGAGAGUGAGAAAACUGUUUUGAGCAUAACUUUUGAUCCGUAAGUCGGAAUCAAGUGAAACGAAAGAGAGACAGAAGCUUAUAACGUCUAUUUUAAUAUGAUGUGACUAUAUGGCUGAGUCUAUAAGGUGAAUAAUUGUUGAUAAGUAUGCAUAAUGUGAUAAUAUGUGAUCUAAGUGCUAUCAAGUGAUGAUUAUGUGAAGUACGUGUUAGUUUUGAUAUUGUGAAGUGAUAAAUGAUUCGUAUGAUUGAUAUUGGAUAAGAAUAUAUGGAUUAUAGUUAUUGGAUUUUGUUGGUUGAUUAAUGAUUGAGAUAGGAUAACAGGUGGAUAGUCUUAUACAUAGACGAGACGAUGUCGGAUUUUCGAUAAGGAUUUAUAUGAUAAUUGAUUGGUGAUAUGUUAUGUGGAAUAUGAUUGACUAUAUGUUAGAGUCAAAGCAUGCUUAUGUGUUACGUGGUAUCUGAUAAGUUUAAAGGGGUAUAUAAGUGGGUAUCGAUAUACGUGAUAUGUAUAUGCGAUAUAUUGUUUAGUGACUAUAGUAUUAUCUUAUUCUCGUAAAGGAUUUGGACGAGACGUGUACGCUCGAAGACGUCAGAAAGUCGGAAUGGUAUUGCAAAGCGAAUAAGGGAUGAAUCGAGUAAGCGAA